Molecule: ribosomal RNA, 182 nt
Filed under: Paenibacillus sp. ICGEB2008
Lineage: Bacteria; Bacillati; Bacillota; Bacilli; Caryophanales; Paenibacillaceae
Description: partial 23S ribosomal RNA
Rfam family: Bacterial large subunit ribosomal RNA
Source: RNAcentral
UCGCUGGGUAGCUAUGUACGGAAGGGAUAAGCGCUGAAAGCAUCUAAGCGUGAAGCCCCCCUCAAGAUGAGAUUUCCCAAUUAGUAAGACCCCUUGAAGACGACGAGGUAGAUAGGUUGGGGGUGGAAGUGCAGUAAUGCAUGGAGCUGACCAAUACUAAUCGGUCGAGGGCUUAUCCUAAA